Non-coding RNA from Stegodyphus mimosarum, 73 nucleotides. Lineage: Eukaryota; Metazoa; Arthropoda; Arachnida; Araneae; Eresidae. The record is from Rfam.
GCCUUCGUGGUGUAAUGGUCAGCACACUCGGCGCGUAUUCGAGAGGCCCGAGGUUCGAAUCCCGGCGAGGACA